RNAcentral lists this long non-coding RNA (610 nucleotides) under Paramuricea clavata. The record is from RNAcentral. Lineage: Eukaryota; Metazoa; Cnidaria; Anthozoa; Malacalcyonacea; Plexauridae.
GUUUGCUAGAUCACUAUUACUAUUAGGUCCUUGCAAAGUUUGAACUUUAGAAAAUAGAUAAUAAGCGACUACAAUAAAACGUAUAUUGUACAAUUUUUUUAACAGUGUAUAGGAAAAUCUAUUUACAUUACUACUCCAAACUUAAGCUACUUAACUAAGCAUUCCCGGAGCUUUUUCAUUGGCUUGCCUAUUUCCUAGUGGAAGGUUGUAACUUGUCUGGCCUAAGGUUUCAGUCAGUGUGAAAUACAUGAGACCAUGCAUUGUACGAAUGUUUUUCCAGUAAAGUCACUUGUUUGGAAUGCAGGACUUUGUAACCUUCAGUUAGUAGGACUAAGGUCCAACCAGUAAUCUUUGUAAGUGGUCCUGUUUGCUGUAUUUAAGUUGGCUUAGUGAUAGCAUAGAAUAACCAAAACCUUUCUUCUGCUUCGGUAUAAACGGGCAAAAUUAAAGUUUUUUCCUCCUGGCUGUGCUUCAUGUUUUUGCCAACAGCCAUGAUUCGAGGUCAUCUGAUGAACUCUUGAACACUUGCUUCUCAUCUUCACCUGUGAGCUUCCAUGCUGCAGAAGCCAACUGUUUUUUCUCAAUCAACAUCAAAUCUUUGCACUCAUCU